Molecule: ribosomal RNA, 119 nt
Filed under: Pteropus alecto (black flying fox)
Lineage: Eukaryota; Metazoa; Chordata; Mammalia; Chiroptera; Pteropodidae
Also listed under: 1 other name
Source: RNAcentral
GUCUACAGCCAUGCUACCCUAAACAAGUCCAAUCCCAACUGAUCUUGGAAGCUAAGCAGGGUCAGGCCCGGUUAGUACAUGGAUGGGAAACCACCUAGGAAGACCAGGUACUAUAGGCG